Molecule: long non-coding RNA, 624 nt
Organism: Prinia subflava (tawny-flanked prinia)
Lineage: Eukaryota; Metazoa; Chordata; Aves; Passeriformes; Cisticolidae
Exons: 2
Source: RefSeq, a predicted model, not a curated record
UCCCAGGGCUGCCUCGGUGUGAAACUCUGUUUUUGAAGGGUUUUGUGACUCUUUGGUCUCUCAUUGAGUCCCAGCCUGCCUUGGCUCUGUGAGACUCUGGUGAUAACAGUGUGUGGCAGGUACUGACUAUGCAGAGGGACAAAGCCUCAACUCCCAUCAAAUCCUCUGUGCCCAGGGUGUGGUGACAGUGCAGCAGGGGCCUGUGGCUAUCUCUGAAUCCUGCUCUGCUCCAUGGUUAAUCCCUGGCACUUGGAGGUUUGUGUCCUCUCUGCAGAGGAAUUCCAUGGGCUGAAGGGCUGGAGUUCCAGUGUAAGCCCAUUCCUGUGGCUGCUGCUCCCUGCUCUGCUGGGGAUUCCAGCUCUGGCACAGGCGUGUUACACAGCUCAGAGCCGAGGGCCGCUCCUCAGGCAGCCUUUGUGACUGAAGCUGGUCUGUGUGCCGGAGACUGUGAGUCCCUUGUGGCAGUGGCGUGUUCUCCUCUGUGCAUUGUGCGCACGGAGCGCGCCGAUGGGAUUCAGCAAAUAACAGUGAGAGAUUGUGGGAAUGUUCUGAGGCCUUUGUGUAUCCGCAUAAAUAGAAACCUCUUAGGCAGGAAAUAAAACUUGAGCAAUUUAUAGCUUUAAA